RNAcentral lists this ribosomal RNA (312 nucleotides) under uncultured bacterium. RNAcentral describes it as "bacterial SSU rRNA". It matches the Rfam family "Bacterial small subunit ribosomal RNA", at positions 207 to 507 of the family's 1533-position model. The record is from RNAcentral.
CUUCGGAACCUCGCGCGAUUGGAGCGGCCGAUGUCGGAUUAGCUAGUAGGUGAGGUAAAGGCUCACCUAGGCGACGAUCCGUAGCGGGUCUGAGAGGAUGAUCCGCCACACUGGGACUGAGACACGGCCCAGACUCCUACGGGAGGCAGCAGUGGGGAAUUUUGGACAAUGGGCGCAAGCCUGAUCCAGCCAUGCCGCGUGAGUGAAGAAGGCCUUCGGGUUGUAAAGCUCUUUCGGCCGGGAAGAAAUCGUGGUCUCUAACAUAGGCCAUGGAUGACGGUACCGGACUAAGAAGCACCGGCUAACUACGUG